CUAUCUGAACAUCUGUCUUUUUCCCUGCAG
This 30-nucleotide non-coding RNA is filed under the name Cricetulus griseus (Chinese hamster). Lineage: Eukaryota; Metazoa; Chordata; Mammalia; Rodentia; Cricetidae. The record is from RNAcentral.